UACAGCCUACCAGGAACAUGUCGCUGUUUUCCGUGUAUUUUUCUUUAUCAUUAUAUUGAGUUGUGUUUUCAGCACUAUGUUGGUCAAGAUACCCAAGCAGUUUGUAUAGUUUCUGUCACUAGUGUUAUACAGUUUUCUGGUCAGUGUGUGUGAUCAUCGUGUCUCCUUUUUUGCCAAGCACAUUCUGAUUUUCUUGCUCAAAGGCAGACCUAGUUUCUAAUGGAAACAUUUUUUGUUCCUUAUCCUUCCUCUACAAGGGAUAAGAUUUGUUGUUUUUGUAAGAAAUGAGAUGCAGGAAAAAAAACCCACUCCACUCCUGCUCUCCUCCCCCAGUCCAAUUAGUAGAUACCGUUUAAGAUAAGAGUCUUAACUUCUCGGGGAAAAGACAAUACCAAGAGCUUGUAUUGUUACCUUAAUCACCUUACUAGCAGUGUGUGGCUUUAAGAAUUUUAGAGAUUUACAGUCUUAGUCUACAAAUUGGCAUUUCACAUUUACGAAGCUAAAAAUCCACCUGUGUCUACUGAAUGUGUGUGUGCUCAGUGUGGCUCUAGAUUCUGUCCCUGGGGCUUAGCAUUGCCAGCCCUGACAGGAUGGGGGAAGCCCCGUGAAUUUAGUGAGCAGCUGGCCUGGGUCAUCGUGCCUUGACCUCAGACCGGCUUAAAGCUUUUUAAGUCCUCUCAGAACUUGCAUUUCCAGCUUCUCCCCUUCAGAAUGAGAGAGAAAGUGGGGAAGGGUUAAGUCUAGCCACUCUAGGCUCAUCAGAACACUUGACCCCUCCAGAGUUUUUAAUAGCUCCCAGGAGGUGAAUCUACUGUCAGUGCUCAGCUAAAAUACCAGCCCCAAGAAUGAGAACUCCAUUUCAAACAGUUCUGGCCAUCCAUCAACCUCCACUAGAGGGGCUAAGUUUGACUGCUCUUAGCCAGGCAAGCACAGUAAUGUGUGUUUUAUUCAGCAUUAUUAUGCAAAACCCCACUGGUUAGGAUGGUUUGUUUUAGGAUAGGAAAUGAAAUUGCCUCUUGGUGACAGGAAUGGCCCAAGCCUGCUUCCUAUUUUGAUUUUUUUUUUUUAACUGAUGGAUGGUGCAGCAUGUCUACAUGGUUGUUUGUUGCUAAACUUUAUAUAAUGUGUGGUUUUGAUUCAGCUUGAAGAAUAAUCUCACUACAUGUAGCAGUACAUUAUAUGUACAUUAUAUGUAAUGUUAGUAUUUCUGCUUUGAAUCCUUGAUAUUGCAAUGGAAUUCCAACUUUACUAAAUGUAUUUGAUAUGCUAGUUAUUGUGUGCGAUUUAAACUUCUUUUGCUUUCUCCCUUUUCUGGUUGUGCGCUUCCUUUUACAACAAGCCUCUAGAAACAGUUUCUGAGAAUUACUGAGCUAUGUUUGUAAUGCAGAUGUACUUAGGGAGUAUGUAAAAUAAUCAUUUUAACAAAAGAAAUAGAUAUUUAAAAUUUAAUACUAACUACGGGAAAAGGGUCCAUUGUGUAAAACAUAGUUUAUCUUUGGAUUCAAUGUUUGUCUUUGGUUUUACAAAGUAGCUUGUAUUUUCAGUAUUUUCUACAUAAUAUGGUAAAAUGUAGAGCAAUUGCAAUGCAUCAAUAAAAUGGGUAAAU
Molecule: long non-coding RNA, 1606 nt
Organism: Equus asinus (donkey)
Lineage: Eukaryota; Metazoa; Chordata; Mammalia; Perissodactyla; Equidae
Source: Ensembl